Pan paniscus (pygmy chimpanzee) is the source of this 104-nucleotide unclassified non-coding RNA. It matches the Rfam family "Y RNA". Rfam says of the family: Y RNAs are components of the Ro ribonucleoprotein particle (Ro RNP), in association with Ro60 and La proteins. The Y RNAs and Ro60 and La proteins are well conserved, but the function of the Ro RNP is not known. The record is from Ensembl. Lineage: Eukaryota; Metazoa; Chordata; Mammalia; Primates; Hominidae.
GGCUGAUCUGAGAGCCCUGGUGUUUACACCUAAUUGUUCACAACCAGUGACAGAUUUCUUUGUUUUUUUCCUCCACUCCCACUACUUUGCUUGACUAGCCUUAA